AUUUAAGUAGUUUAUUUAAAAUAUUGAUUUGUGGAAUCAAAGAAAUUAUAUUUAAUCUUAAAUA
Molecule: transfer RNA, 64 nt
Filed under: Calvia decemguttata
Lineage: Eukaryota; Metazoa; Arthropoda; Insecta; Coleoptera; Coccinellidae
Description: tRNA-His
Source: RNAcentral